GGAGGGGUGCCGGAGCGGUCGAACGGAACCCGCUUGAAACGGGUCAGACGCCGCAAGGCGUCUCGGGGGUUCGAAUCCCUCCCCCUCCG
Molecule: transfer RNA, 89 nt
Filed under: Elusimicrobiota bacterium
Lineage: Bacteria; Pseudomonadati; Elusimicrobiota
Description: Elusimicrobia bacterium (groundwater metagenome) tRNA-Ser
Rfam family: tRNA
About the family: Transfer RNA (tRNA) molecules are approximately 80 nucleotides in length. Their secondary structure includes four short double-helical elements and three loops (D, anti-codon, and T loops).
Source: RNAcentral